UGUGUGAAGUAAGAAACUCUAUAUGCAUAGUAACCAUAAAAAAAAGGAACAAAAUCCCCCCAUUCUUCCUCGAAAUUCAGUUUCUAGGCUUCAUUGUUAGUAAAAUAAAAAAUCAUAAUAGUGUCAAUUCGUCCAUCCUGCCUUCCUGGACUCUACUCCAUUUCCCAUGAUUAUUGGUCGAGCUCUAUAAAACAAAGAGAUAUAUGAAACAAAAGGCAGGAAUAAAGUGUCUUGUGCGACAAACUUUUGAGUUCAAAUCACUAUCAUCUUCAUCGAAAAUAUAACAAACAUAACAAGAAGUCGACUCUCAGCUUUUGAGGAUCCCACAAGUACGAUAAAUAACCAAUAAUUAAGGAAAAAACGAGUUAAAACACUAAAAACCUGCACUUCGAGAUAUUCCAAAUAUGGGAAACUUCGUAUCAAGCAAAGAGCAUAUGAAAGCUUAUAUGAUUCCACCAACAAAAUAUCCGACAGAUAAAUUUGUUUGCCAUUGUUAGGAUUAAAGGGAAACCUUGUUGGUUCAUCAUAUUCUUCUUCAGAGUGAAGAAGGAUAUGAAGCACCAACAAAGCUUCUCUUUCAUCCUGAUAGUGUCAAACGAUUUUACCUACCUAACCUUUUGUUGGUGGAAUCUGAUAAGUGUUCAUGUGUUCUUUGCUUGAUAAGAAGCUUCCAUAGUUGAAAUAUUUCGAUAUGUAGGUUUGUAGUGCUUAUAGUCUUUUUUUCCUUAUAGGGGUCAUUUGUCAUACUUUUUUGGUUUCUCAAUAAUUUGAGAAUUGACUUUUUGUUAUCUUUCUUAAGUUUUCAAUGAAAAUGGUAUAUAGUGAUACUGAAGAAUUUCUUGAACUCGAAAGUUUUCGGACAUGACAUUUGAUCACCACGAGGAAGUCAAGCAGGAAAAUUUUAUAGAAAGAAUGUCCGGUGUUAAAGAGAAUGCUAAUAGAUCGACAAUUUCUUAAUUGACUAUUCUAAAGCUAAAUAUAUGUGUGGAAUAAUAGA
Long non-coding RNA from Solanum pennellii, 997 nucleotides. RefSeq lists it as uncharacterized. The record is from RefSeq and is a predicted model, not a curated record. Lineage: Eukaryota; Viridiplantae; Streptophyta; Magnoliopsida; Solanales; Solanaceae. The transcript has 2 exons.